Molecule: long non-coding RNA, 761 nt
Filed under: Salmo trutta (river trout)
Lineage: Eukaryota; Metazoa; Chordata; Actinopteri; Salmoniformes; Salmonidae
Description: lncRNA (ENSSTUG00000020119.1)
Rfam family: SOX2 overlapping transcript exon 1 (bases 84-298)
Source: RNAcentral
AAAAUGUUGAAUAUCAACAAUGAGUUUCAGUGCUGUAUUGUUGAGUUUUGUAUGAACUAAUCUUGCCUCACUAAAAAAGACCUACAGCUUGGACAAAAGUCUAUAGCCAGUGCAUUCCUAGCUCCCCUUGCACUAAGGCAGGCUGAGGCAGAGGGGAAGACAUUUUAGUCUUGUGCUCUUCUAGUUGCUAAAGCGCUGGGCUGCCGGGCUGUGGGAGUCAUGAGGCGGCCCUGCUUCACUCGAUAUGGACUCAGGGGGAGAGAACCAUGGAUGUGCAGGUCUAGGCCCUUAGAGCAGUGAGGGGGAAAGGGGUAACGAGCGAAACACCAGCGUUCAGCGAGCAGCUUGAGCGGCGGUACGCUGAAGUAAGAGCACUGGCUUUUGGAAAAACCUGCAGACUACGGGGCGAGUAAAGAGAGAGAGACAGCCUACCGCUGUUUCGGUCGAGCAGAGAGCGGGAUCUCCGGCGGCUGAAGAGUGGUUCUUGAAUCGGCCAGAUACUGUUCCAUCCUCUUUUCUGCCAAUCAAGCAAAGAUGAGGACAACACCCAAACUGGCACGAUAACAGCGCCGUAUUCGAAGAGGACCCAAUUGUUCCAAAAGGCCUUGAUUUUGCUCCGCCGCGGUCCGCGCGGAGGCUGCCGCAGCUGUGGACAGCAACAGGUGUGUUAUCGGUGUUUGCUAAUUCGGGAUCCUUGGGACGUCCCAACUCUGACCUUACCCGAUCGACGGUUAAGAGAAAAGGUGAGAGGACCCUGCUGA